ACGUACGCUGGCGGCACGCCUAACACAUGCAAGUCGAACGAAGUAGCAAUACUUAGUGGCAGACGGGUGAGUAACAUGUAGGUAUCUGCCCUUUGGCCUGGAAUAACACGAGGAAACUUGUGCUAAUACCGGAUAAGUCUUUACGGAGAAAGCUUUAUGCACCAUUGGAUGAGCCUGCACUUGAUUAGUUUGUUGGUAGGGUAAUGGCCUACCAAGACUGUGAUCAAUAGCUGAUUUGAGAGGAUGAUCAGCCACAUUGGGACUGAGACACGGCCCAAACUCUUACGGGAGGCAGCAGUGGGGAAUCUUGCACAAUGGAGGAAACUCUGAUGCAGCGAUGCCGCGUGAGUGAAGAAGGCCCUUGGGUUGUAAAGCUCUUUCGUCGGGGAAGAAAAUGACUGUACCCGAAUAAGAAGGUCCGGCUAACUUCGUGCCAGCAGCCGCGGUAAUACGAAGGGACCUAGCGUAGUUCGGAAUUACUGGGCUUAAAGAGUUCGUAGGUGGUUGAAAAAGUUAGUGGUGAAAUCCCAGAGCUUAACUCUGGAACUGCCAUUAAAACUUUUCAGCUAGAGUAUGAUAGAGGAAAGCAGAAUUUCUAGUGUAGAGGUGAAAUUCGUAGAUAUUAGAAAGAACACCAAUUGCGAAGGCAGCUCUCUGGCUCAUUACUGACACUGA
This 675-nucleotide ribosomal RNA is filed under the name alpha proteobacterium IMCC14931. RNAcentral describes it as "bacterial SSU rRNA". It matches the Rfam family "Bacterial small subunit ribosomal RNA", at positions 29 to 749 of the family's 1533-position model. Lineage: Bacteria; Pseudomonadati; Pseudomonadota; Alphaproteobacteria. The record is from RNAcentral.